GCCUCGUUAGUGCUAAUGGUUAACACAUAUCCUUGGUACGGAUAUAAAGAGAGUUCGAUUCUCUCACGAGGCUC
RNAcentral lists this transfer RNA (74 nucleotides) under Streptomyces phage Peebs. Its description in RNAcentral is "tRNA-Thr". It matches the Rfam family "tRNA". Rfam says of the family: Transfer RNA (tRNA) molecules are approximately 80 nucleotides in length. Their secondary structure includes four short double-helical elements and three loops (D, anti-codon, and T loops). Lineage: Duplodnaviria; Heunggongvirae; Uroviricota; Caudoviricetes; Stanwilliamsviridae. RNAcentral also lists the same sequence under 19 other names. The record is from RNAcentral.